UCCCACAUCCAAAGACAUGCAGGUUUGGUGGACUGGAAAUUUUAAAUUGUCCGUAGGUGUCCCUGUGGGUGUGAAUGUAUUUGUUUGUCUAUAUGUGGCCCUGCGACAGACUGGCGUCCUGUCAUGCGUGUACCCCACCUCCCGCUCUAUGACUAGGCUCCAGCCCCC
Molecule: long non-coding RNA, 168 nt
Organism: Thalassophryne amazonica
Lineage: Eukaryota; Metazoa; Chordata; Actinopteri; Batrachoidiformes; Batrachoididae
Exons: 3
Source: RefSeq, a predicted model, not a curated record